This 1140-nucleotide long non-coding RNA is filed under the name Homo sapiens (human). RNAcentral describes it as "PREDICTED lncRNA (TCONS_00163222)". The record is from RNAcentral. Lineage: Eukaryota; Metazoa; Chordata; Mammalia; Primates; Hominidae.
UGAAUAGCAAAAGGAAGAAAAGCACUUCACAUAAAAUAGACAGGCAUGCUUUCAGGACUAACUAAGCAUGGAGAAAAAGAAGUGUUCUAUAAGAAGUUUGGACAAGACUCUGCAAGAAGUUAAGAGGUCCUUAAAGGCAACUGUGAAUUAACGGAGACUAGUUUUGAGAAAAUCAGUCCUGAUUUGUUUCUCCUGGAGUUUUCUUCUUUAUGUGAUCCUUCAUAAAAGCUGCUAAUAUGGGAAAGAUUGAAAUCAGCAAGUUUCUGGCUGUAAGCUAAAAGAGGCUCUUGAAUCAUAUUUCCGCCUGCUUAGCAAAUUUCUCUUGCGACAAUUGGAUGUUAUUUGGGGUUCCAUACUAGCAGGAAGAAGUACAAGCAAAGCUAAGUCAUUUUGAGAAUAAAUAUUAUCUCUCUAUAUAUUUGUAAAUGUUAUUUUCUUUUUUUUUGAGGUUUAUGAUUGAUCCUUGGCAUGUGUCCCCUUGUGUAUUGCUCUACUAAAAAUAGCCUAAAAAAGAAUUUUCCCCUCGAUGUGGAGCUUCUCUUUAGUUACAAUUCUACUUUCUCCUUCACUUGAGUAUCAGUCUUCAGAGAACUACCAUAACAAAGGAGUGGAUACAGAUAUACGCAAAAAAGUCUAUGAGAAAAUUAGUACAUUAAAUUUGUGAAAGCUCAUUUAAAGUAAUUUUCUACUAACAAUUUUAAUCAAAUGUAUUAAUCAUAUUUCUAUGCUUAGUGAUGUUAAAUAAAAAUUUAAAAGGUGGCAAUCAAUAAACAGAGAUAAAAGCUUCUCAAGAAUAAAUGAAAGGAAGUAAUAAAAAGACUCACUAAGCUGAAUUGCCUCCUAUCAACAGCAGCUGAUAAAAUAUUAAAAGAUUUGCCUUGUGUAAUGUCUCUGGAGAGCUGUCUUACUGAUGUACGAGGCCAUGAUUGACAACUUUGAGACUUUGCUGGAAGCGACAAAAGUAUAUCUAUAAUAUUAUGCUGAAUUGCAUAGGUCUUUCUUCUUAAAUGAGGCUAGAAAUAACAUACCACCAAGUGUUUGGCUUUUAGGAAAUUGAGCAUUUUCUUUAGUUCUAGCUGCAGUUUAAUUUCCUCAGAAUUAGACAUUAUGCGGUAUCUGGAACGUUAAAAAAAAAAAAAA